GAGUUUGAUCCUGGCUCAGGACGAACGCUGGCGGCGCGCCUAACACGUGCGAGUCGAACGAGAGAGAGGGAGCUUGCUUCCUCAAUCGAGUGGCGAACGGGUGAGUAAUGCGUGAGGAACCUGCCUCAAAGAGGGGGACAACAGUUGGAAACGACUGCUAAUACCGCAUAAGCCCACAGCUCGGCAUCGAGCAGAGGGAAAAGGAGCAAUCCGCUUUGAGAUGGCCUCGCGUCCGAUUAGCUGGUUGGUGAGGUAAUGGCCCACCAAGGCGACGAUCGGUAGCCGGACUGAGAGGUUGAACGGCCACAUUGGGACUGAGACACGGCCCAGACUCCUACGGGAGGCAGCAGUGGGGAAUAUUGCACAAUGGGGGAAACCCUGAUGCAGCGACGCCGCGUGGAGGAAGAAGGUCUUCGGAUUGUAAACUCCUGUUGUUGAGGAAGAUAAUGACGGUACUCAACAAGGAAGUGACGGCUAACUACGUGCCAGCAGCCGCGGUAAAACGUAGGUCACAAGCGUUGUCCGGAAUUACUGGGUGUAAAGGGAGCGCAGGCGGGAAGACAAGUUGGAAGUGAAAUCUAUGGGCUCAACCCAUAAACUGCUUUCAAAACUGUUUUUCUUGAGUAGUGCAGAGGUAGGCGGAAUUCCCGGUGUAGCGGUGGAAUGCGUAGAUAUCGGGAGGAACACCAGUGGCGAAGGCGGCCUACUGGGCACCAACUGACGCUGAGGCUCGAAAGUGUGGGUAGCAAACAGGAUUAGAUACCCUGGUAGUCCACACCGUAAACGAUGAUUACUAGGUGUUGGAGGAUUGACCCCUUCAGUGCCGCAGUUAACACAAUAAGUAAUCCACCUGGGGAGUACGACCGCAAGGUUGAAACUCAAAGGAAUUGACGGGGGCCCGCACAAGCAGUGGAGUAUGUGGUUUAAUUCGACGCAACGCGAAGAACCUUACCAAGUCUUGACAUCCUGCGACGCACAUAGAAAUAUGUGUUUCCUUCGGGACGCAGAGACAGGUGGUGCAUGGUUGUCGUCAGCUCGUGUCGUGAGAUGUUGGGUUAAGUCCCGCAACGAGCGCAACCCUUACUGUCAGUUACUACGCAAGAGGACUCUGGCAGGACUGCCGUUGACAAAACGGAGGAAGGUGGGGAUGACGUCAAAUCAUCAUGCCCUUUAUGACUUGGGCUACACACGUACUACAAUGGCGUUAAACAAGGAGAAGCAAGACCGCGAGGUGGAGCAAAACUCAGAAACAACGUCCCAGUUCGGACUGCAGGCUGCAACUCGCCUGCACGAAGUCGGAAUUGCUAGUAAUCGUGGAUCAGCAUGCCACGGUGAAUACGUUCCCGGGCCUUGACACACCGCCCGUC
RNAcentral lists this ribosomal RNA (1367 nucleotides) under uncultured bacterium. RNAcentral describes it as "bacterial SSU rRNA". It matches the Rfam family "Bacterial small subunit ribosomal RNA". The record is from RNAcentral.